RNAcentral lists this ribosomal RNA (501 nucleotides) under uncultured delta proteobacterium. RNAcentral describes it as "bacterial SSU rRNA". It matches the Rfam family "Bacterial small subunit ribosomal RNA", at positions 9 to 523 of the family's 1533-position model. The record is from RNAcentral. Lineage: Bacteria; Deltaproteobacteria.
GAGUUUGAUCAUGGCUCAGAAUGAACGCUGGCGGCGUGCCUCAGGCAUGCAAGUCGAACGAGAAAGUACCUUCGGGUACAAGUAAAGUGGCGCACGGGUGAGUAAUACUUGGGUAACGUACCUUUCUGAGGGGGACAACUGGGGGAAACCUCGGCUAAUACCGCGUACGCCGAAAAGGACUGCGGUCUUUUUCGGGAAAGCCGUAAGGCGCAGAGAGAGCGGCCCAAGUCCCAUUAGCUUGUUGGUGGGGUAAUGGCCUACCAAGGCUACGAUGGGUAGCUGGUCUGAGAGGAUGAUCAGCCACACUGGUACUGGAACACGGACCAGACUCCUACGGGAGGCAGCAGCUGGGAAUAUUGCGCAAUGGGCGAAAGCCUGACGCAGCAACGCCGCGUGAGUGAGGAAGGCCUUCGGGUCGUAAAGCUCUUUUAGCAGGGAAGAAAUCAAUGACGGUACCUGCAGAAAAAGCACCGGCUAACUCCGUGCCAGCAGCCGCGGUAA